AUGUUAGACGAAUAACCUGGAAAGGUUAAUCAGAGAAGGUAAAAAUCCUGUAGUCGAAAACAUCUUCCCUCCUGAGUGGAUCCUGAGUACGGCGGAGCACGUGAAAUUCCGUCGGAAUCUGGGAGGACCAUCUCCCAAGGCUAAAUACUCUCUAGUGACCGAUAGUGAACCAGUACCGUGAGGGAAAGGUGAAAAGUACCCCGGAAGGGGAGUGAAAGAGAACUUGAAACCGUGUGCUUACAAGUAGUCAGAGCCCGUUAAUGGGUGAUGGCGUGCCUUUUGUAGAAUGAACCGGCGAGUUACGAUCUGAUGCAAGGUUAAGCAGAAAAUGUGGAGCCGUAGCGAAAGCGAGUCUGAAUAGGGCGAAUGAGUAUUUGGUCGUAGACCCGAAACCAGGUGAUCUACCCUUGGUCAGGUUGAAGUUCAGGUAACACUGAAUGGAGGACCGAACCGACUUACGUUGAAAAGUGAGCGGAUGAACUGAGGGUAGCGGAGAAAUUCCAAUCGAACUUGGAGAUAGCUGGUUCUCUCCGAAAUAGCUUUAGGGCUAGCCUCAAGUGAUGAUUAUUGGAGGUAGAGCACUGUUUGGACGAGGGGCCCCUCUCGGGUUACCGAAUUCAGACAAACUCCGAAUGCCAAAUAAUUUAACUUGGGAGUCAGAACAUGGGUGAUAAGGUCCGUGUUCGAAAGGGAAACAGCCCAGACCACCAGCUAAGGUCCCAAAAUAUAUGUUAAGUGGAAAAGGAUGUGGCGUUGCCCAGACAACUAGGAUGUUGGCUUAGAAGCAGCCAUCAUUUAAAGAGUGCGUAAUAGCUCACUAGUCGAGUGACACUGCGCCGAAAAUGUACCGGGGCUAAACAUAUUACCGAAGCUGUGGAUUGUCCUUUAGGACAAUGGUAGGAGAGCGUUCUAAGGGCGUUGAAGCAUGAUCGCAAGGACAUGUGGAGCGCUUAGAAGUGAGAAUGCCGGUGUGAGUAGCGAAAGACGGGUGAGAAUCCCGUCCACCGAUUGACUAAGGUUUCCAGAGGAAGGCUCGUCCGCUCUGGGUUAGUCGGGUCCUAAGCUGAGGCCGACAGGCGUAGGCGAUGGAUAACAGGUUGAUAUUCCUGUACCACCAUGAUUCGUUUUAAGCGAUGGGGGGACGCAGUAGGAUAGGCGAAGCGUGCUGUUGGAGUGCACGUCCAAGCAGUAAGACUGAGUGUUAGGCAAAUCCGGCACUCA
RNAcentral lists this ribosomal RNA (1221 nucleotides) under Staphylococcus chromogenes. RNAcentral describes it as "partial 23S ribosomal RNA". It matches the Rfam family "Bacterial large subunit ribosomal RNA", at positions 326 to 1551 of the family's 2925-position model. The record is from RNAcentral. Lineage: Bacteria; Bacillati; Bacillota; Bacilli; Caryophanales; Staphylococcaceae.